AUGGGAGCCCCGUCGUGGAACGCCCUAGGACGCUGGUGCCGCGCCUCGCCCCCGCCUCUCCUUCCCCGCCCCGGACCUUCCCGUCGCCGGUGCCUCGCCCUACCUCUCCAUCCCGUACCCCCCGUCGAUGGUGCCCCGCUCGCUGUCGCCCCUGCCAACCACACGAGCCGCCGCCGUUCCCAGCGAACCCCAGGUGUCGCCGUUCCCGCCAACCACGCGAGUCGCCGCCCUCGCAACCCCAGGUGCCGCUACCGCCGCGCCGCCGCUGCCUGCCUCCUCCCACGAUGCCGCUGCCGGCCCCUGCCACCACGUGCCACCGCGGCCCCCGUCCAGCGCCGCAGCCCCACCACCGGUUAUCCCCACAUCUCCUCUGCCAACUCUGGUUCGUCUUCUUUCCUCACCUCAAGAUCAUCCUCAAUGGAGAUCCCUGUCCCUGCUCCCCAACCUGGUCUGGGUUCUUCUGCCGCCGUCGCCUCCGCAUCACAGCUCCGGCAGGCACCUCAAGUGCCUCUUCCCCUGCUGGCUCAAAGUAUGCUGCAGUCCAAAGUGUCAAUUUUCAGCAGGCCAUGGUGA
This 573-nucleotide ribosomal RNA is filed under the name Triticum aestivum (bread wheat). Its description in RNAcentral is "partial small subunit ribosomal RNA". Lineage: Eukaryota; Viridiplantae; Streptophyta; Magnoliopsida; Poales; Poaceae. The record is from RNAcentral.